GAUGAACGCUGGCGGCGUGCCUAAUACAUGCAAGUCGAGCGAACAGACGAGGAGCUUGCUCCUCCGACGUUAGCGGCGGACGGGUGAGUAACACGUAGGUAACCUACCUAUAAGACUGGGAUAACUUCGGGAAACCGGAGCUAAUACCGGAUAAUAUAUCGAACCGCAUGGUUCGAUAGUGAAAGAUGGCUUUGCUAUCACUUAUAGAUGGAUCCGCGCCGCAUUAGCUAGUUGGUAAGGUAACGGCUUACCAAGGCAACGAUGCGUAGCCGACCUGAGAGGGUGAUCGGCCACACUGGAACUGAGACACGGUCCAGACUCCUACGGGAGGCAGCAGUAGGGAAUCUUCCGCAAUGGGCGAAAGCCUGACGGAGCAACGCCGCGUGAGUGAUGAAGGUCUUCGGAUCGUAAAACUCUGUUAUUAGGGAAGAACAAACGUGUAAGUAACUGUGCACGUCUUGACGGUACCUAAUCAGAAAGCCACGGCUAACUACGUG
RNAcentral lists this ribosomal RNA (497 nucleotides) under uncultured bacterium. RNAcentral's name for it is "partial 16S ribosomal RNA". It matches the Rfam family "Bacterial small subunit ribosomal RNA", at positions 28 to 507 of the family's 1533-position model. The record is from RNAcentral.